UACGAAGGGGGCUAGCGUUGCUCGGAAUCACUGGGCGUAAAGGGUGCGUAGGCGGGUCUUAAGUCAGGGGUGAAAUCCUGGAGCUCAACUCCAGAACUGCCUUUGAUACUGAGGAUCUUGAGUUCGGGAGAGGUGAGUGGAACUGCGAGUGUAGAGGUGAAAUUCGUAGAUAUUCGCAAGAACACCAGUGGCGAAGGCGGCUCACUGGCCCGAUACUGACGCUGAGGUGACGAAAGCGGUGGGGAGCAAACAGG
RNAcentral lists this ribosomal RNA (254 nucleotides) under uncultured bacterium. Its description in RNAcentral is "partial 16S ribosomal RNA". It matches the Rfam family "Bacterial small subunit ribosomal RNA", at positions 524 to 776 of the family's 1533-position model. The record is from RNAcentral.